Molecule: long non-coding RNA, 449 nt
Filed under: Homo sapiens (human)
Lineage: Eukaryota; Metazoa; Chordata; Mammalia; Primates; Hominidae
Description: HSALNT0282531
Source: RNAcentral
GCCAGGGCCUGGUCGAGACAACUAUUUUUGAGGUAUCUGAGGCUACCCCACAGCACUCUCUGGCAUUGGCAAGACUCGUGGCUGUGACCCAUGGGCCUCUGAGGAGGCGUUGUAAGUCCGCCCAGCUCCCCACUUGCUGUGCUCUCACUCAAUGCGAAGGGAACCAAGGUACCAGGGCCAAGUGGGUCCAGACAUCCACACGGAUUCUGAAAGGGCAGGUCAAGCAGACUUUGUCCAGCCAUCAGCCACGGCCUCUCGACAGCACCAAGAUGGAAGUCAAAGGUCAGCUGAUCAGCUCUCCUACCUUCAAUGCCCCAGCUGCCCUGUUCGGAGAGGCUGCCCCCCAGGUGAAGUCAGAGCGUCUGCGGGGGCUGCUUGACCGGCAGCGGACCCUGCAGGAGGCCCUGAGCCUGAAACUUCAGGAGCUCCGCAAAGUGUGUCUCCAGGAG